GAUGAACGCUGGCGGCGUGCCUAAUACAUGCAAGUCGAGCGAACGGACGAGAAGCUUGCUUCUCUGAUGUUAGCGGCGGACGGGUGAGUAACACGUGGAUAACCUACCUAUAAGACUGGGAUAACUUCGGGAAACCGGAGCUAAUACCGGAUAAUAUUUUGAACCGCAUGGUUCAAAAGUGAAAGACGGUCUUGCUGUCACUUAUAGAUGGAUCCGCGCUGCAUUAGCUAGUUGGUAAGGUAACGGCUUACCAAGGCAACGAUGCAUAGCCGACCUGAGAGGGUGAUCGGCCACACUGGAACUGAGACACGGUCCAGACUCCUACGGGAGGCAGCAGUAGGGAAUCUUCCGCAAUGGGCGAAAGCCUGACGGAGCAACGCCGAGUGAGUGAUGAAGGUGUUCGGAUCGUAAAACUCUGUUAUUAGGGAAGAACAUAUGUGUAAGUAACUGUGCACAUCUUGACGGUACCUAAUCAGAAAGCCACGGCUAACUACGUG
RNAcentral lists this ribosomal RNA (497 nucleotides) under uncultured bacterium. Its description in RNAcentral is "partial 16S ribosomal RNA". It matches the Rfam family "Bacterial small subunit ribosomal RNA", at positions 28 to 507 of the family's 1533-position model. The record is from RNAcentral.